RNAcentral lists this ribosomal RNA (253 nucleotides) under uncultured bacterium. RNAcentral's name for it is "partial 16S ribosomal RNA". It matches the Rfam family "Bacterial small subunit ribosomal RNA", at positions 524 to 776 of the family's 1533-position model. The record is from RNAcentral.
UACAGAGGGGGCAAGCGUUAUUCGGAAUUAUUGGGCGUAAAGGGCGCGUAGGCGGCUAAACAAGUGACGGGUGAAAGCCCUCGGCUUAACCGAGGAACUGCCUGUCAGACUGUUUGGCUUGAGACCGGGAGAGGUGAGUGGAAUUCCCAGUGUAGCGGUGAAAUGCGUAGAUAUUGGGAGGAACACCAGUGGCGAAGGCGGCUCACUGGACCGGAACUGACGCUGAGGCGCGAAAGCGUGGGGAGCAAACAGG